AGUGGACCACCUCCUAUCCACAGAAACCCAGGCAGGUUUCAUGAUUGGCCCUUUUUCAUAACACCCCUUCUCGUCCUGGCAUAAAAAACCCCAUUGGGGUAGCUGUAAACAAAUACACCAAUAAAAAACGCUUAAUAAUCGAUCUGUCAGCUCUUCAUUUUUCAUAUACCCCCAGCAUUAACUCACUCAUACCCGCAGAAGAGUUUUCACUACAGUAUGCCAUGAUUGACAAUGCUAUGCAAGCCAUCAUCAUAGCAGGCAGCAAAGCAUGGCUGAGUAAAACGGAUAACACAAAUGCUUCCAAGCUGCUACCUAUUCACCUGUCACUGUGGCACUUACAUGGCGUAAAAUGGAGGGGCAGAUAUUAUUUUCCUACACGACUCACCUUUGGUUCUAGGAGCAGCCCUAAGCUAUUUGACAUUUUCGCUGAAACACUCUGCUGGCUGCUCCUGAACAUAGUCAGGUGUCCAUCAGUUAUUCACUAUUUACACAAUUUUUUGUUGCUGGAAACUGGCUCCCAUGCACCUAGUAGCAUUCACAGAACCACAGCCACUUCA
Pelobates cultripes (western spadefoot toad) is the source of this 557-nucleotide non-coding RNA. The record is from the annotation of a GenBank genome assembly. NCBI's taxonomy places the organism in Eukaryota, Metazoa, Chordata, Amphibia, Anura, Pelobatidae.